UGCAGGUGUUUGAAGACAGUGUGUGUGUGUUGUGUUGUAGGUGUUUGAAGACAGUGUGUGUGUGUUGUGUUGUAGGUGAUUCCAGACAGUUUGUUUAACCCAGUGUGUUGUGUGUGUGUUGUGUUGUGUUGUAUGUGAUUCCAGACAGUGUGUUUAACCCAGUGUGUGUGUGUUGUGUUGUAUGUGAUUCCAGACAGUGUGUUUAACCCAGUGUGUGUGUGUUGUGUUGCAGGUGUGUGUCAAGGCGAUACAGGGAGGACUGUUAACCAUGUGCUACAGUGGCUAGGGUUCCCCAUCAUUCCCAGGGCCUCCCAUCACUGUCUUUCUGUCUGUGGUGCCACCCAUCACUGGCUGAGGAGGAGAGGGCCUCCCAUCACUGGCAGAGGAGGAGAGGGCCUCCCAUCACUGGCAGAGGAAGGAGAGGGCCACCCAUCACUGGCUGAGGAGGAGAGGGCCACCCAUCACUGGCUGAGGAGGAGAGGGCCACCCAUCACUGGCUGAGGAGGAGAGGGCCACCCAUCACUGGCUGAGGAGGAGAGGGCCACCCAUCACUGGCUGAGGAGGAGAGGGCCACCCAUCACUGGCUGAGGAGGAGAGGGCCACCCAUCACUGGCUGAGGAGGAGGAGGGCC
Oncorhynchus tshawytscha (Chinook salmon) is the source of this 631-nucleotide long non-coding RNA. The record is from Ensembl. Lineage: Eukaryota; Metazoa; Chordata; Actinopteri; Salmoniformes; Salmonidae.